GUGAGGAAUAUUGCGCAAUGGAGGCAACUCUGACGCAGCCAUGCCGCGUGCAGGAAGAAGGCGCUACGCGUUGUAAACUGCUUUUAACCGGGAAGAAACCCCAGGACGUGUCCUGGGUUGACGGUACCGGAGGAAUAAGCACCGGCUAACUUCGUGCCAGCAGCCGCGGUAAUACGAAGGGUGCAAGCGUUAUCCGGAUUCAUUGGGUUUAAAGGGUGCGUAGGCGGAGCGUUAAGUCAGUGGUGAAAUCCUGCAGCUUAACUGUAGACUUGCCAUUGAUACUGGCGCUCUUGAGUGCGCUUGAAGUGGGCGGAAUGUGCCGUGUAGCGGUGAGAUGCUUAGAUAUGGCACAGAACACCAAUUGCGAAGGCAGCUCACUAAGGCGAUACUGACGCUGAGGCACGAAAGCGUGGGGAUCGAACAGGAUUAGAUACCCUAGUAGUCC
RNAcentral lists this ribosomal RNA (445 nucleotides) under uncultured bacterium. Its description in RNAcentral is "partial 16S ribosomal RNA". It matches the Rfam family "Bacterial small subunit ribosomal RNA", at positions 354 to 796 of the family's 1533-position model. The record is from RNAcentral.